Armigeres subalbatus is the source of this 1020-nucleotide long non-coding RNA. RefSeq lists it as uncharacterized. The transcript is spliced from 2 exons. Lineage: Eukaryota; Metazoa; Arthropoda; Insecta; Diptera; Culicidae. The record is from RefSeq and is a predicted model, not a curated record.
CGUCCAGUCCGAUCCAGAUGGAAUACCAAACGUGGCUCUGAAAGCUAUGAUUUUAUCAUAUGCAAACAUGUUCAGAAUGGUACUCCAGAGCCUAGAUGAGGGUAAUUUUCGAGAAAUGUGGAAGACCUAAAAGCUGAUACUGCGGUCAAAACCAGGGCCAAUACCAGCCACCGAAGAAUUUGGCCUAAUAUAGGACUAUAUAGCUGAUAGACACAGUUGAAAAACUCCUGGAGAGGAUCAACAGGCUGACGAAGUGUAUGGAGGGUGAGCGUUGAGUGUCAAAGAUUCAUUUUGGAUUCCACAAAGGAGUAUCGACAGUGGAUGCAAUCUGGACAGUCCUCGAGAGUGUUGAGAAAGCAUCAAAGCAGAAGCGAAGAAGAGAUCGAUACUACGCAGUGGUUACGAUAGAUGUGAAGAACGCCUUCAACAGCGCCAGAUGGUGAAAAUUCAUGGUGGUGAAAAUUAAUUCGAUGGUGAUAUGGCAGCAGGAGUGGAACAGUACGCAAAAAGGAGGGUUAACCUACCGGCUCAUUCCAAAAUCCAAACCUGUCGACGUGGAUGAACAGAAAGUAUGGCGAGCACAAUCAUGUUAGCAAAAAUUGUCCGAAAAUGGCUGCGACAAUUGCCGUCCUAAUCCUCGCUACAUGGAAACCAUUAUUUUAUGCAUGCCGCAUUGCUUUCAAUAUGACAAAAAUUGACACAAAGAAAAUCUUUAUUUUAAAUUCUCAGCGUAAUAAUCAAGUACCAGCGUAGUCGAUGAUAAUGAUGGUCCGGGCACAUAUCCCUACAAAGGUUUGAACUGGACGAGCUAAAGAUAAUUAAGCUGAAUAAAUAAGCUAAGUUGAAUAAAUAAAAAUUACAAAAGAAAAAGAAAAUUCUAAAAGCUGGUCAUAUUAGUGAGGGAUAAAAUCAUAUGUAGCACUUUGCACAGCAGUAAAAAAAAUUACAAGCAUAAGUUACUUAGUCUGGAUUAAUAUUAUUCAACAAAAUGUUUGAUUUCAAUAAAGAAGAAAAAGACGA